This is a non-coding RNA of Carica papaya (papaya), 1728 nucleotides long. The record is from RefSeq and is a predicted model, not a curated record. Lineage: Eukaryota; Viridiplantae; Streptophyta; Magnoliopsida; Brassicales; Caricaceae.
AUCUGCGUAAUUUUUUUUUUCUUUCUUGGAAUUCAUAACCAAAUUAACAUGCUUUGAUUUGAUUCCUAGCCUUAGGUAACUCUACAAGUAAUUGGGUGAGUUUUUUCUAUAAGAGAUGAUCCUUUCUAAUUUGGAAAGAACAUAAAUAGUGAUUCACUUUCUAUAAAUCUUCUGGACUUCUGCGUCAGGUGAUCUAAACUUUUACUGGAUUCGUGCUUAAUUUGAGAUGCCUAAAAAAGGGGUGCAUCCCUGAUUGAUUGCUGCUGUGAAGACUUUAGCUCUUAGUUUUUGUUCCUUGCUUCUUGAGGCAAAUGUGCUUAUAUAUUCUCUACUAGCUGGUAACAUGUAAGUUGCAUAUUGACAGUUAGUAGUUAAUAUUUUUUUCCCUGCAUGUCCUUAAGUUAUUAUUCUUAUCGUUUUUCUUUUCUCUUUUUCCCUAACUAGUCUGUCCACUUCAUGUACACCUUUUUAUUAUCUUUUGUCAUGUGUGUGUAUCAGAUCUUACAUCAGAAAUUAUUAGACUUAGAUAACAGCAAAACACUUUUGCUUUAAGUAGUCUGUCCACUUCAUGCCCCAUAUGAAAAGGCAGGCUAUUGUCAUUAACAAUGGCUUGAUUGAAACAGUUUUUUGUUUCCAAUACUUCCAUACACGAUGUAUACAAGAGAGGUUUGUACUCUAUUCUGGAUCUUAUUAUGGUGAAACUAUGGUGUUCAUAUUUUAUGGUCUUGGCUUUAUCCUUGUAUGGACUACUGAAGUCAGUUUCGCUCAUUAAUAUAAUGAAAAAUUAUUAUUUUUUUGAGAUAGUCCAACCUAAGAUUAUAGUCGUAUAUUUUCCAUUUUUAUGGAUUUCUUUUAUUUCAUUUUGUUUUUCUACAUAUUGCGUUAGGAACAAAAUAGUUCUUUAUCCAUGAGUUUUACCAAAGAAGAAAUAAAAAUAAAAAUCCGGUGUAACUGCCUAUAUAUGGAUGUUAGUGUUAAUAUUUAUUGUGUAAUAACUAUAUAAGUGUGUUAAAAUGAGUGCCAAGUGUGUAUUAAGGUAAGAAAUAAGUCUGUUAUAAGACAAGGGCCGUUUAGACAAUUCCGGAAAUUCCAAUUCCAGAAUUAACUGUUUCCUCUCUUGUAUAUAUCCUGUGCUGUGGCUGGAGACAGUAUUAUGGUCUGAAUUUGAUGUUAAUGAAAAAUACGUUUUUAUUCUAAAGAUCACAGGGUCCUCUCUAUCCAAUGAGGCCUGAUUCUCUACCUUAAAUUUUGAAAAGAUGGAACGGCAGAAAAAAAAAAAUGCAAAGGUACCUACUGAUUUAAUGUUAAUCGCCCUAUAAAAUGAUCCACCAGUCGGAAUCAUAAAGUACUGCCUUACACUUUCUUUCUUUUGUUAUUCGUUAGGUGGUGUUUUGUCAGGAUGUUCUAAUCACAUUAGCGUCAAUUUCUUCAAAUCUUGAAAAUAUCAUAUUCGAAAUUGAUUACAGUUGAUUAAAAAUAAAACUUAAACAUUUGUAACUAAAGCUUUGAUAGAGCAUUUCUAUGUUGAUUUAAUAUUCUGCAUACCUUUUGUUUGUCCUUUAUAGAUCCUUAAGAUGUUAGUGCUUAUAAUUUCUUUAAUCACUUUAUUUAUUGAUUUUCAUGAAACAACAAGGUCCUUUAGGAGCUGAUAUUUUUGUAUGAAAUUAGUUGAGGACCUUUGAAGUCUUGUGAACUUAUCAAGCUGGAACUGAUGCCAUGCUGGGAAAA